This 369-nucleotide ribosomal RNA is filed under the name Triticum aestivum (bread wheat). Its description in RNAcentral is "partial small subunit ribosomal RNA". Lineage: Eukaryota; Viridiplantae; Streptophyta; Magnoliopsida; Poales; Poaceae. The record is from RNAcentral.
AUGCGGCUCGGUGAUAUAGAACCACCCCGAUUGCCACCCCUUCACGGUCUCCACAUAGGAGCCUUCAAGCCAGGUGACGUUGGGCAUCUUGCCCACCAUGGCGCCCCCGCACUCCGCUUGUUGGCCAACCACCACCUUCGGCUUCUCGUUGAAGGUCUUCAGCCGCAGGCCGAAGUGGGGCUUGAUGCGGAGGAAGGCCUCGCACACGAUGAUAAACGCCGAGAUGUUGAGGAUGAAAUUAGGGGCCAGAUCAUGGAAGUCCAGCCCGUAGUAGAACAUAAGCCCGCAGACAAAAUGGGUGGAGGAGGAAUCCCAGUCCACGGACGAAGUGGGCAAGGAAUACAACCCUCUCAUGGGGUUAUGGAGUAG